GGCCCAGAGUGCUGAAGUGCUGAAGCUCCUGUAGAAGGUCCUUCCAUGUGUCUUUCAGAUCCUGGGCUUGGCCUUCUCCAUAACCAUCACCCAGCACAUCCACUGGACUGGGUCUUGCUCUGUCAUCCAGACUGGAGUACAGUGGUGCAACCACGGCUCACUGCAGCCUUGAACUCCUGGGCUCAAGCAAUCCUCCUACCUCAGCCUCCAUAGCAGUCGGGACCACAGAUGGAGUCUUGCUUUGUCGCCCAGGGUUGAAGUGUAGUGGCACAAUCUUGGCUCACUGUAACCUCCACCUCCCGGGUUCAAGCAAUUCUCCUGCCUCAGCCUCCCGAGUAGCUGGGAUUACAGCGUGGCCAUCCAGCCUGCCCUGAUUUCUCCUGAGCAUACAAGUGCCUGGUCCACACGUCCACAAGGUAACAAGGAAUGCAUUGCCAAAUACCUGGCUGAAAUCAAGGACACUGACAGAGGAUGCAGGAGGAGGAAACGUCACUUACCCUCUGGUAAUACACAUGGGCCAGGACUCCCGCCACCAGCUCAACCAGGAAGAUGACGAGCAACAGGCAGAAAUACUAGCAGCAAAGAGAGAGGACGGUCACCACUGGGAUCGGGUUGCUGCUAUGACAAAUGUUUCCCCACAGUGGUGGGGGUGGUAGAGAUACCUGCUGGGACCCCUAUCAUCCAUGCCAUCUUCCUCCUGGAUGUACCAGCCUCACUGGCUGCUGGCACCAAGUUCCCCACUUACUCCUUCCCUCUUUGGUCUGCUGACAAUUCAGUACGGCAUGUACCCAUCCAAUAUGUAUUAAAUACAUGCCAUAUGCCAGA
Molecule: long non-coding RNA, 825 nt
Filed under: Homo sapiens (human)
Lineage: Eukaryota; Metazoa; Chordata; Mammalia; Primates; Hominidae
Description: PREDICTED lncRNA (TCONS_00061204)
Source: RNAcentral